CCAGAUUUUGGCCCCUCUAGUAGAUUUGUUGUGAUAUCUCAUUGUUCUUUUUAUUUGCAUUUCCCUGUUGACAUAUAUUGUGUAGAGAAUCUUUUCAUAUACUUAACCAUCUGAUAGCUUCUUUAGAGAGAUCUUUUCUCCUUUUUCAAAGAUCUGUUAACUGUAUUUAUGGGUAGUCUAUUUCUGGGCUAUCCAUUCGGUUCCAGUAAUCAGUUUAGCUUUUCCUUCAUCAAUAAAUGCUGUCUUGAUUACUGUCACUUUAUAGUAAGUCUUGAAGUCAGGCAGUGUCAGUCUUCCAACUUUGUUCUUCUCCUUUACUAUUGUCUUGACUGUUCUGGGUUUUCUGCCAAUUCAUGUAAACUUUAGAAUCUCUUUGUCAAUAUACAUAAGGAAACUUGCUAGAAUUUUGAUUGGGAUUGCAUUGAAUCCGUAGAUCAAAUUGGGAAGAACUGACAUCUUGACAAUAUUGAGUCUUCCUGUUCCAAGAACAUUUAUUCUCCAUUUAUUUAGCUCUUCUCUUGGUUUAAUUAUUCAGAGUUUUUCAGUUUUCCUUGUAUAGACCUUGUACAUACAUUGUUAGAUUUAUACAUAAGCAUUUCAUUUUGGGUGGGGGGUGGCUAAUGUAAAUGGUUGGAGAAGGAAAUGGCAACCCACUCCAGUAUUCUUGCCUAGGAAAUCCCAUGGACAUAGGAUCCCAUAGAGCCUGGCGGGCUACAGUCCAUGGAGUCUCAAGAGUCGGACACUACUGAGCAAGUAAACCACCACCGAUGUAAAUGGGUGUGACUACUAAGAAGCAGAGAUCAUCAUGGGCUACCUUUGAGACUCACUACCAGCAAAUGUUGGCUGUCUUUAUGAUUUUUUUUCCUAUUUCGUACAGAUUUUAAAGCUUAUCCUUAAGAGUGUUGGCCUAAAUUACCUUUUCCUUUUUUUAAAAAAGUAACUGUUUUACAUAUGUGUAUAUUCUUAAUCAGUAUACUGAUAUCUCCUGAAUUUGUUCUUGAAAAAUCAGAUCUUCUGUGUAAAAAUAACAUAUCAUAAAAUAGUAAAACACCCUUAAACAAGGGGCAAGCUAUCAAGUUAGGAUUACAGUGUUUAAAAUAACAUCUUCUGAUUGUUAAAUUAUGUCCAGUUUUGCCCUGUGUAUUUUGAGACUAUUUCACUAGAUAUAAUAUAAUGGUCACCAUUUCAUAGGGAUUCUCUUUGUUUCUAAAUAUAUAUUUGUCUUGGCCUUUCUAUGUUUCUUUGGUUAAUAGUUGCCUCGUACACACAUAUAUUCUUUAAUUUCUGUGUCCUUUUAGGAAUAUCCCAUAAAUAAUAUAUCUGAA
This is a long non-coding RNA of Bos taurus (domestic cattle), 1325 nucleotides long. Lineage: Eukaryota; Metazoa; Chordata; Mammalia; Artiodactyla; Bovidae. The record is from Ensembl.